UCCAUCGUCAAGGACGCCCCAGCCGCGGAGCCCUUCGCCGCCUCUGAGAUCCGAGAGGAACCGCUGCCGCCGCCAGUGCGGCUCCACCCCUUUCUUCCCCAUCGACCCCCAGCACCUCCUCGCUGUUCCCAAUCCCAUCCUAUGCGCGCCCCUGCGGCUAACCCUAGCCGCCAACUCGUGUUGCGGCCGCGUCACUGAAGGGGUGGAGCGGCUGGGGCGCCACCGGCCGCUUGGGUGCAGAAGCAGUGGCAGCGGUGGCGCCGUGCUGGGGCGGAGGAGAGGGAUAGCGAUGUGGUGGUUCGAGCCUGGAGGGUAGCGCCGUCCCAGAUUGAGGUGGAAUCCGGUGAGAAGCGCCUAAACAAGCUCGGUUACAAGGAAGAGCUCCAGAGGGAGAUGACGCUGUUCAAGACGCUGGCCAUCACUUUCUCCAGGAUGAUGAUCUUCACUGGGAUCACGUCUUUGUACGGUAGCAUCCUCCAGUACGCGAGGCCGUCCAGCCUCGUGCGGGGCUGGGUCAUCGUCUCCUUCUUCACCUGGUUCAUCGGUGUCGUCAUGUUGGGGAUUUCUCCUUCCCUUUCUUUGAACCUCUAACUACUGAAGCUAAAAAUGAAGUUCACGAUUGUUUGUAUGGCAACGGUUCAGGGUACGUUUCAUGACAUGCUUGCAUCUUGUUUGAAGCUUCCUAUGUGCCUUGCUAACACAACUCAACAUUGCUCCUUUUCACUUACAGUAGCAAAGUCCUGGUGCUGCAUGAACCGUCUAACAUUCAGGUUAGCAGGGGGAAAAAUCAGUGUUUGAGACCACAUGGCAGGUUAAAUGACGAGCUAAAUAUUCAUCUUACAUGUACUAAACCAUCCUUAUUGAUUGCAAACAUGUAAACUUUGCACUGGUGUUUUUAUACGUAAUGGGGAAAGUGGGAUCCCUUGUCUUCAGGUCAUUAAUUUGUACC
Molecule: long non-coding RNA, 949 nt
Organism: Triticum aestivum (bread wheat)
Lineage: Eukaryota; Viridiplantae; Streptophyta; Magnoliopsida; Poales; Poaceae
Exons: 3
Source: RefSeq, a predicted model, not a curated record